CCUACGGGUGGCAGCAGUGGGGAAUAUUGUGCAAUGGGCGAAAGCCUGACGCAGCGACGCCGCGUGAGGGAUGAAGGUCUUCGGAUCGUAAACCUCUGUCAGCAGGGAAGAACGGUCACUGUGCUAAUCAGCAGUGAAUUGACGGUACCUGCAAAGGAAGCACCGGCUAACUCCGUGCCAGCAGCCGCGGUAAUACGGAGGGUGCGAGCGUUAAUCGGAAUUACUGGGCGUAAAGCGCUCGUAGGCGGUAUGUCAAGUCAAGGGUGAAAUCCCCGCGCUCAACGUGGGAACUGCCUUUGAAACUGGCAAACUGGAGUGUGGGAGAGGAUAGUGGAAUUCCAGGUGUAGGAGUGAAAUGCGUAGAUAUCAGGAGGAACAUCAGUGGCGAAGGCGACUAUCUGGCACAUAACUGACGCUGAGGAGCGAAAGCGUGGGUAGCAUACAGGAUUAGAUACCCCGGUAGUC
Molecule: ribosomal RNA, 465 nt
Filed under: uncultured bacterium
Lineage: Bacteria
Description: partial 16S ribosomal RNA
Rfam family: Bacterial small subunit ribosomal RNA
Source: RNAcentral